UAGACCGUGUGCGGGAGCCAAGAAGAUUUUAAAUUAUCUUGCUGAGAUAUGGAGUUGAUGCCAGGUGGACACAUGGAUCGAUCGCAUGAUUGAUCUGUGUGUGGAUGACUCUCAACCGUUCGAACUUGAACAAGUUAAUGCUUGCGAAAAGGAACAUGGUUGGCUUUGGA
Seminavis robusta is the source of this 170-nucleotide non-coding RNA. The record is from the annotation of a GenBank genome assembly. Lineage: Eukaryota; Bacillariophyta; Bacillariophyceae; Naviculales; Naviculaceae.